CUGUGUGUAUUUGCACAACCUCCCCAUAGCUGCAUGGGUUUUCUCUGAGUACUCUAGUUUGCUCUCUCAUUCCAAAGUCAUGCACAUUAGGUUAAUUGGCAUGUCUACAUGGACUCAGUGUGAGUGAAUGUGAGCAUGGGUGUGAGUGUGCUCUGCCAUGAGAGAUUGUCCUGUUCAGGGCUGGUUCCCACCUCACUCCGUGAGCUGCUGGGAUGGGCUCUGGCCACCCAUGACCAUGAACUGGAAAUAAGCAGGUAUGGACAAGGUUCUGACCCUUAUUAUUGGAACUCAAAUCCAGAUGGAGUUUGAACUUUAAAAAUCAUCCCAAACAGAUCUAUGUACCUGUUGAGCAAUAAUUCCCCAUUCUUUACACCCCUCAGCUCCUGGUAACCUCGAUUCUACAUUGUCUCUACAAAUUUGCCUAUUCUAGGGUACCUAAUGUAAGUAGAAUCAUACAAUAUUUGUCCUCUUAUGUCUGUAUAUUUUACUUAGCAUAAUUUUAUUAAAGUUCAUUUAUUUUUAAUCAUAUAUUAAAAUUGUAUUAUUAAGACUGAAUAAUAUUCCAUUGUAAGUUUAUACCACAUUUUGUUAUCCAUUUAUAUGUUGAUGGAGAUUUGCCCUGGGCAUUUCUCUGUUGGUAGUUUUUUGAUUACUGAUUCAAUUUCCAUAUAAGUUAUAUGCCCAUUAAGAUUUUCUAUUUCUUCAUGCAUCAGUCUUGGUAGGUUGGGUGUUUCUAGAAGUCUGUUCAUUUUGCCUAGUUUAUGCCAUCUGUUGGAGUACAAUUUUUUUGUAAUGCUCUUUUAUAACCUUUUUUGUUUCUGUAAAAUUGGUAGUGAUGUCCCCAUUUUAUUUUAGAUUUUGGUAAUUUGAGACAUUUUUAUUUCUUAGUCAAUCUAGCUAAAGGUAUGUUAAUUUUGUUAAUCUUUUUGAAGAACCAGACUAGUUCAUUGAUGUUAGCUAUUGUUUUUCUAUCUUCUAGUUUAUUUACCUACACUCUUGCUUGAAUAGAAACCACUUAAAAUGUUCAUUUUCUUUUUUUCACACUUUAGGAGAAGGGCCUGUAAAUUACUAUCUGUGGAUCAAAUCUUGCCUGCCACUUGUUUUGUAAAUAAAGUUUUAUUGGAAUAUAUGCAUGCUCAUUUGUUUAUGUACUGUUUUCAUGUUGCAGUGGCAGAGUUGAGUAGUUCUAACAUAGACUGUAUGGCUUCCAAAGCCUAAAAUAUUUACUAUUUUGCUCUUUACAAAAAAGUUUGCUGACUCCUGCUCUAAGAAGCUUUCAAAUAGAUUUAUAUCUAAAAUGCAGCAAUGGCCAAAUUUAUAGUAAUGAUUUCUUUUGCCAGGAAGAUGGAAGGUUUUCUUACUGUAAAACAUUUGCAGAUUUUAAUACUUCUCUCUGCCAUGCCUUGUUUAACAGACAGAUAGGCAUGGAGAAGGCACCAUGUGGCAGUAAGGGAGGUGGGUGCUAAGGGUGUAUCACAACACUGGGAAGCAUAUUCCUUAACAUUAGGAGUUUAUGUGAUUUAGCUGAAGAGAGAACACCUGUAUUAGUUAAAAGGGAAUAUUUAGCAGCAUUUAAACAAAAGCUAUUUCACAUGUCACUAAGUAUACUAUAAGAAUUUCCAGAAAGAAGUAUCAUCCUUUGUCUAAUAGUUCAGAGGAUUUCUAUUAGUAAAUGAAAAAUGACAGCCUCAUUUUAUCCUCCAAAUAUGUCAAAAUUAUCUUGAGUUGUUGGGUACCAGAACUGAUAGGUGUCAUGUAUUUAAGCCCAUUUGAAAAAUACAUUUCAAUAAUGGAGUGAGACUCUGUCUCAAAAAAAUUUCAAAUGUCUUUUCUCAAUUGAAAAAACCUAUUAUUUCUAGAUAGAUAAGUAAAUAACCUUUGCAAACUCGAGCCACACUUUUCCCCUUUCUUUUAAAAUUCAGCUUAAUAUAAUUGAAAACUGAAGUCUGACUCUCCAAGCCUAUAAGGGAUAAAAGAGAGACAGGAUAGAUAGAAAUAACUGGCAACGAGGAGUUACUGGGCUUUGGCUCCAUGGGAGACAAUAGUGGUUUCAUAGAAGGCAAUGGUGGACUCUUAGUCAACUGAAGCUUGGGUGGAACUUAGCUGCAUAAUUAAGAAGCUGAAUCUGUUUUAUUUUAUUUUUCUAUAACAUAAAGAGUGUGAAAAGGUCAUUUUAAUGUUCAGAGAGUGGCUUCUCUUGGAAAAUAUCCCCGAACAUACCAUGGAGCAGUGUCAACUGUAGUAUAAAAUGUCCUAGAAAUCUUGCAAUUUAUGAGUUUAAUGGCACACCUGAGGAUUACGAGGUUUUUUCCGUCCACUCAUAAUAGCCCGGUGACUGAUUUAGCAGAGAGGAAGCAAAAUGAACAAUCUUGAUCACCUUUUAACAUUUUUCCUGUCUUGCUGACUUCAGAGCUUUAGGGGUACAGCAUUUGCAGGAAUUGUAUGUCUUUUUGGCAAUACUUUAAAAUCAAACUCAAAAGAUGAAGAAGAAAAAUGGUUAUUAGAUAGUUAUAAAUAUGUCAUUAUUUGCAAAUGGUAUUGCUUUGUGGAUAUGAAGCUCUUCAUUGCUCAUCUGUUUUUAAGUUCAACGAUCCACAUAUAAAGGUGUAAGGACUUAUUGACAUUGUGCUUCCUCUCUGUUGACACCAUUAGCCCGAGAACUAAGGACAAUGGAUAGCUGUAUAUAAGUUCAAGUUCUGCAUCUACUUCUUAGUUUCCCUUUCCAUCCUUCAGUUGUGUUUGUUUUUUUUUUGAAAUCUGUAAAGUAGGAAUAAUAAUAAAGUUACUAUUCUUUGUAGGGUUUUGAAGGAUUUUCUUGAGAUAAUGUAAAGUACCAGGCAUAUAAUUAGCCUAAAUGUAACUCAACCGUGUUUUUUUAUUUUAAUAUACAUGUCACUACCCAUCUCUAGUGCAGAGAAUCAACAGAAUACAAAUAAUUUUGAAGAUUCAUAUAAUAUUCACACGUUGCAAAAUCUUGUUUGUGGAGCCCUCAUUGUAGCCUGUAUGAUUCAAACGAUGCCACGUAGUCCUUUAAACAUUUCCAGAUAUUAAGGAAUUUUACACUGUUGUGUCACUUUUUAAAUGUCUGCAUUUUUCUGUCUCUCUCUCUCUCAAUCUCUCUGAAUUUGUUUAUCCAGUGAAUAAAAUUAGGAAGAAGUGGAUGCUGUAAGAAUAUUUAUGUGUUUAAAGGUUGUGGUUGCCCCAUUAUAGUUACUUACCAGCAGCUUCAGCACGCAGUCAGAGACUGUAGAAAAAAGAAUCAUUCUUUUCUCUGAUUUGAGGAUGCAUCUCCAGAGUGUUUCUGGGGUAAUGGAUCUAAAAUCAAAAUUUUAAAUGCUAGUUUUUAAGUGUGAAUUUUUCUUCAGCACUUUUGUUCUCUCCUUAUAACCUUUUAUUUCAUUGAGUUCCAGAGAGCAGACAGCUUAGGUUUCUUGAUUUGGCAGAUCAAUGAGGAAGGAUAACUAAAGAAAGUUUAAAGGUAUCUUUUAUACCAAAAUACCUCACUUCUCUUUCAUUGCAGGUGUAGUUAAAAGCACUAAUGCCAUACCCUAGUUUUCUCACCUCUAUUCUUAUUAUACUUGCUUUCUAUGCUUAAGAUGGCAAUUAACUUAAAUAUCUGAGUUCAUGUAGUUCAUCUAGUAGAUAAACAGUAUCAGUGCUACCUGGAUGUAUUUUUGCAUCACUUAUUUGCAUGAUAGUGUUCAAAAAUUUUUGUGAAUUUCAACCACAGAAAAGACAUAAUAGGGCAAUUCUCAAAGGAAAAUAUAGAAAUGACCCAGUACAAGAACAGUAAAAUAUCUUUCCACCUGUUAAUUUGGUAAAGAUCAGAAUGUGUGUGUUAUGGUUUGAAUGUCUAUGACCCUCCAAAAUUCAUAUAUUGGAACUUAAACCCCAAGGUGAUGAUAUUAAAUGGUAUGGUCUUUGGGAAGUGAUUAGGCUGUGAGGGCUUUGCCCUCAUAAAUGGGAUUAAUGUGGGUAUAAAAGAGGAAUCAGAGAGCUGCCUGGCUUUUCCAUCUCUUCUGCCAUGUGAGGGCAGUGUCUGUCUCUUUCCCUUUCUGCCAUGUGAGGACACAACAAGAAGUCACCAUCUUGAAAACAGAGAGCAGCCAUCACCAGACACCAAAUCUGCCAGUGCCUUGAUCUUGGACUGCUCAACCUCUAAAACUGGGAGAAAUAAAUUUCAUUAUUUAUAAAUUACCCAGUCUGGGUAUGUUUUUAAUAGCAGCAUGGAUGGACAAAGACAGUGUGUAACACUCAGUAUCAACAAACUCCAAGGAAAUGGGCACCCUGAUACUCUAUUGUGUAGUGUAAAUUCACACAAAUUUUGGAGAGCAAUUUGGCAAUAUAUAUCAAAAUCUUAAAAAAGUUCUAGGCACAAGAACCCUGUUUUAGAAAUUAAGUCUAUUGGAGUAGUCUGCAGGAAGUUGUGUCUGUAAAUUUGUUUAUCACAGUUCUGUUUAUACUGGAAGAUAACCCUCAAGAAAUGUUAUAUAUCUAAUAAUAGAGGAUUACAAUUACAUGAUGAAAUUUUGUAUAGACAUCAAAAUUAUAUUAUAUAUAUUAUAUAUUAUAGAAAAAUAAAAAUGUUUAUGAAAUGUGAAGGAAAAAAUAUCAUAGGUUAUAAAACAGUUUUCCUUCAAGCCCAUUUCGGUUAAAUUUAUAUAUUUAUGUUAUAUUCUGUAAAUAUUUAUAUUGAAAUGUCCACAGUAACUGUAUAUAAUGGAAGUUGCAGUAAUGCUAACAGGUUUUCCUGACUUAUCUAUAUAUUUUUCAAUUUGCUACAAUAAACAUAUAUUUUUUCUAGAUGGAUAAACAAAGCUGCUUUUUUAUUUUAAACAAAAGAGAUCAGUAAGAUUAUUUUAUUUUCCAAUCAGAUUCUAAGCUCUCUGGGGCAAGAUUCAGCUUAUGAAGUAUCAGAUAACAAACAUAAUAGAUAAAUCUUUGUUUUUCAGCUAUGUGGAUUAUUUUUCUAAAGCAGUCUGGAUGAAUUUUUUAGGGAAAGAUCAACUCUUUAAAAAAUUUACAUUUUUCUUUUGUUGAAUAAGACCAAUAGCAUUGAUGCUAUUAUAAAAGAUAAAUAAAAACCACAGAAAAAUAAACUUGGUUGAGCCUGUUGGGAAAACAUUUAUGGACAAACUAUAUUUUCAAAGAGCUUUGACUAACAUCACUUUAAAUCUUAAAUCUUUCUUGUCCUUCUGGGUGUUCUUUCAUGAAUGAAAAAAACAGAAAGGCUUAAAAAAGAAAUUCCUGCUCACCAUCUCCCUAAAGCACCAUCUCCCUUGCUGCUUUCGGUUGACUCUCAUCAGUUCCUGAGUUCUAGCUAAAAGGUGCUUCUUGAAUAUUUCUCAAAUUUUUAAUAUUCCUGAAAUAAGAUUAUAGGGAUGCAAAUGAUUUUCUCAACAGGUAUUACCUAGAAGUCUACUUUCUAAGUAUAAUGUUUGGGUUAGUUGCCUGAGAACAGGAUGGUGUUUUCUAUGCCCUGGGCAUAGAAAUUUUAUCAAUGAGAGAAUCUGGCUGAUUAGCUUGAGCUUAUUAAUAUUGGUGAGCAUUUUUAGGUUUGGGGUAGCUUAUUUUAUGGUUCUUUUGCAAGGAAAUUGCAGAAUUACAUAAAUUUUUGUUUAUUGUGUCUCUGGCUCUUCUUGCAGUUGGGACUUCACAUCAUUGGAAGGUGAAUAGAAAAGUAUGUCUUAAGAAUUUCACCAUGUUUUGGAAGAAUUGCAGCAAGAAAAAAAGAACUCCUUUGUUUCCACCCCAUUUCUUUUAAGGAAAACCUGGAAUAUCUGAGGGUGCAAGCUGAGAAAAGUCUGCUUAUCUGUUCCCUACUCUGGCAAUCAAAAAGGAUCCAAGUCUACUGUUCUCUUCUCCUGGCACUCUUAACUUGCACACAUUGCAACCUUUUAUGGCAAAGUAAUGGUCAAGCUAUCCUAACAAGGACGAGCCCUUAUUAAAUAAUUCACUGUGGUUGGGAAAUGGUGAGGAAGCCAUCUUCUUUUGUCUUCUUUUCUCUGAAAAUAAAAUUUUGUCUAAUUUUGUAUUAAGGACAUUUGGGCUUCACUUUAUUACAUUCUCUACUUUCUUUAAUAGCUCGAAGCUCAUGACAGUACAUGUCUGGUCUUGCAAAACAAGAUGAAUUUGUUAAAUUAAACUUUUAAAAAAAAUCA
This 6161-nucleotide long non-coding RNA is filed under the name Homo sapiens (human). Its description in RNAcentral is "HSALNT0400000". Lineage: Eukaryota; Metazoa; Chordata; Mammalia; Primates; Hominidae. The record is from RNAcentral.